GUGGGUGGCAAUUUAAGAUGCUUCACGUGGAGAAAAGUCUUAACUAUUGGGUAGUUUUGAAAACAGAUGCACAGAAGCAAAAUCAUUGGAAAAGGAAGAACAGAAGAAUGAAGCUCAUGUGUGAGGCAGGGAGAGUGAAAUUGUGUCCUAGGCAGUGUGAAGAGGUUUAAGUAACAGAAGCCUACAGCACGGAUGGUAGACAGCCUUUCUCCUUGCAAGCAGAGGAAAAUACAGAAAUGGGAGCAGCAGAAUAUAACAUGAAAAGCUAUAGCAGUAGAAAAAGGCCAGCUGGUUCAACAUGCCAGUCCUUUUAAAGCAGAUCAAACCAUCAUUUGGACCAGUAGUCCCCAUCCUCCCUCAGCCUGGUAAGCUGUUGUACAUUUAUUUUGGUGCGAGAUCUCUUCUAAAUGGGUUGCUGUAGCAUAGAUCCACAUCCUGUUGUA
Molecule: long non-coding RNA, 443 nt
Organism: Oxyura jamaicensis (ruddy duck)
Lineage: Eukaryota; Metazoa; Chordata; Aves; Anseriformes; Anatidae
Exons: 5
Source: RefSeq, a predicted model, not a curated record